AACGAACGCUGGCGGCAGGCUUAACACAUGCAAGUCGAGCGAGACCUUCGGGUCUAGCGGCGGACGGGUGAGUAACGCGUGGGAACGUGCCCUUCUCUACGGAAUAGCCCCGGGAAACUGGGAGUAAUACCGUAUACGCUCUUUGGGGGAAAGAUUUAUCGGAGAAGGAUCGGCCCGCGUUGGAUUAGGUAGUUGGUGGGGUAAUGGCCCACCAAGCCGACGAUCCAUAGCUGGUGUGAGAGGAUGAUCAGCCACACUGGGCCUGAGACACGGCCCAGACUCCUACGGAAAGCAGCAGUGGGGAAUCUUAGACAAUGGGGGCGACCCUGAUCAAGCCAUGCCGCGUGAGAGAUGAAGGCCUUAGGGUUGGAAAGCUCUUUCAGCUGGUAAGAUAAUGACGGUACCAGCAGAAGAAGCCCCGGCUAACUCCGUG
This 433-nucleotide ribosomal RNA is filed under the name uncultured bacterium. RNAcentral's name for it is "partial 16S ribosomal RNA". It matches the Rfam family "Bacterial small subunit ribosomal RNA", at positions 29 to 507 of the family's 1533-position model. The record is from RNAcentral.